Paramuricea clavata is the source of this 116-nucleotide non-coding RNA. The record is from the annotation of a GenBank genome assembly. Lineage: Eukaryota; Metazoa; Cnidaria; Anthozoa; Malacalcyonacea; Plexauridae.
AGUAAGUGAUAUUUCGGAACAGAAUCUAGUUCCUUCGAUACCAAGAAAAAAAUCAUAUUACAAGAUUACAUUGGUAUCGAAGGAACUAGAUUCUGUUCCGAAAUAUCACUUACUCG